GACGAACGCUGGCGGCGUGCUUAACACAUGCAAGUCGAACGGAAAGGCCUCUUUCGGGGGGUACUCGAGUGGCGAACGGGUGAGUAACACGUGAGUAACCUGCCCUUGACUUUGGGAUAACUUCAGGAAACUGGGGCUAAUACCGGAUAGGAGCUCCUGCUGCAUGGUGGGGGUUGGAAAGUUUGGGCGGUUGGGGAUGGACUCGCGGCUUAUCAGCUUGUUGGUGGGGUAGUGGCUUACCAAGGCUUUGACGGGUAGCCGGCCUGAGAGGGUGACCGGCCACAUUGGGACUGAGAUACGGCCCAGACUCCUACGGGAGGCAGCAGUGGGGAAUAUUGCACAAUGGGUGGAAGCCUGAUGCAGCAACGCCGUGUGCGGGAUGACGGCCUUCGGGUUGUAAACCGCUUUCGCUCAUGACGAAGCUUUGUGUGACGGUAGUGGGUAAAGAAGCACCGGCUAACUACGUG
RNAcentral lists this ribosomal RNA (467 nucleotides) under uncultured bacterium. RNAcentral's name for it is "partial 16S ribosomal RNA". It matches the Rfam family "Bacterial small subunit ribosomal RNA", at positions 28 to 507 of the family's 1533-position model. The record is from RNAcentral.